GCCUUCGGGGUCCGAGCGGCGAACGGGUGAGUAACACGUGAGCAAUCUGCCCUUCUCUUUGGAAUAACCAUUGGAAACGAUGGCUAAUGCCGAAUAUGAACCCCUUUCGCAUGUUGGGGGUUGGAAAGCUCCGGCGGAGAAGGAUGAGCUCGCGGCCUAUCAGCUUGUUGGUGAGGUAAUGGCUCACCAAGGCAUUGACGGGUAGCCGGCCUGAGAGGGUGACCGGCCACACUGGGACUGAGACACGGCCCAGACUCCUACGGGAGGCAGCAGUGGGGAAUAUUGGACAAUGGGCGAAAGCCUGAUCCAGCAACGCCGCGUGAGGGAUGACGGCCUUCGGGUUGUAAACCUCUUUCAGCAGGGACGAAGCGAGAGUGACGGUACCUGCAGAAGAAGGACCGGCCAACUACGUGCCAGCAGCCGCGGUAAUACGUAGGGUCCGAGCGUUGUCCGGAAUUAUUGGGCGUAAAGGGCUCGUAGGCGGUUUGUCGCGUCGGGAGUGAAAACUCAGGGCUCAACCCUGAGCGUGCUUCCGAUACGGGCAGACUAGAGGUAUGCAGGGGAGAACGGAAUUCCUGGUGUACGGUGGAAUGCGCAGAUAUCAGGAGGAACACCGGUGGCGAAGGCGGUUCUCUGGGCAUUACCUGACGCUGAGGACGAAAGCAUGGGGAGCGAACGGGAUUAGAUACCCUGGGAGUCCAUGCCGUAAACGUUGGGCGCUAGGUGUGGGGAC
RNAcentral lists this ribosomal RNA (733 nucleotides) under Aeromicrobium sp. 42ND25. RNAcentral describes it as "bacterial SSU rRNA". It matches the Rfam family "Bacterial small subunit ribosomal RNA", at positions 78 to 829 of the family's 1533-position model. Lineage: Bacteria; Bacillati; Actinomycetota; Actinomycetes; Propionibacteriales; Nocardioidaceae. The record is from RNAcentral.